Molecule: ribosomal RNA, 477 nt
Filed under: uncultured bacterium
Lineage: Bacteria
Description: SSU rRNA
Rfam family: Bacterial small subunit ribosomal RNA
Source: RNAcentral
AGGAUGAACGCUGGCGGCGUGCCUAACACAUGCAAGUCGAACGUCCUGUCUCGCAAGAGGCAGGGAGUGGCGGACGGGUGAGUACCACGUGGGUUAUCUACCGUGAGGUGAGGAAUACCGGCGAGAAAUCGCCGACAAGACCGCAUAGCCUCGGUGCAAGCCGAGGAAAGCUUUCUCGAGAGAGGGAGCGCCACACGAGGAGCCUGCGCCCGAUUAGCUAGCUGGUGGAGUAACGGUUCACCAGGGCGACGAUCGGUAGCUGGUCUGAGAGGACGAUCAGCCACACUGGGAUUGAGAACGGCCCAGACUCCUACGGGGGGCAGCAGUGAGGAAUUUUCGUCAAUGGGGGCAACCCUGAACGAGCAACGCCGCGUGCAGGAAGAAGGUUUCGGAUCGUAAACUGCUUUUCUCGGGAAGAGAAUGGACGGUACCCGAGGAAUCGAGCCCCGGCUAACUACGUGCCAGCAGCCGCGGUAA